This is a long non-coding RNA of Elgaria multicarinata webbii, 5589 nucleotides long. RefSeq lists it as uncharacterized. The transcript is spliced from 2 exons. Lineage: Eukaryota; Metazoa; Chordata; Lepidosauria; Squamata; Anguidae. The record is from RefSeq and is a predicted model, not a curated record.
ACACACUCUGGUUACCUAAUGUUUUUAAUACAGGCAUAGCAAGCAAGCCAAUUCCUGGCAAAAUCAUAUUUGGCACGGGCCAUUUGUUUGAGAUAAUUUUUGCAGCCUGGACUACCAUUUUAUAUGUUCUUGAUCCCAAUACCCUUCUUUAUGAAAGAUCUUAGCCCAAAGAUCCAGGGCUCACAAGUACAAGGUUUGGCUCAUUCUAUGUCUAUUUUGAUUUCUUCACCUUUUGAACAAUAACUCUCCACAGUAUGUUUGGCUGGACCAUCAUUCAUGAUCCCAGCUUGGGAAGGAAACAGCCUCUUGAAAAUUCUGAUAUAUUUAGACCUGGUUGAUACGUAAUGGCAGCAUUUGGCAGCAAAUCAUGGGUUAAUUAACCAAUUGUGAGAACGUGUACUGCAUGCAAGUCCCUUCUAGUGUGCAGUAACAACCUAUGAACACCCUGUUUGUAUGUUGUGACCUCCGAACCCAGACCCUUUGGGUUGUUUGUGAGUAAAACAACACAAAGCUAAUUUAAGAUUUGUUCUUUAAUUAAUUAAACCAUGAUUUUUCACCUAAUGCUGCCUUUACAUGCAAACUGCCCCUUAAUCUCUGCAGAUACAAUCUACAAAUGGAAUGAUGGUUUUUAUUAAUUGUACCGCUUACUUUUCUUCCCUUUAUUUUUCCUUCAUCAAGGAGACCAGAAUUAUUUGCCCUUGUAGCCUAUCUCAAAAAGUCAGGUAGGUAAUCAAAUAUCUUUGAAAAUCACAUUAAAAUAAGGCAUAACAAAUAGUACACCAGAAGCAGCUUGACUCUGGUUGCCAAAAACAAGCCCUUAUUUAUUUAUUUUUUUAAAAAGCUCUUAAAAUGCUUUCAAAAGAUGUUCAGAUUUGACUCUUGCAAGAUUUUAGGAGAAAUGAUUCUCCAGUUGGGAAGAAGGACACAGCCCCAAAGUAUACCUCUCUCUUCAUGGUCUUGUAAGUCCAAGCUAAUGGUAUAUGGAUCAUAACUUUAAAAAGUACACUUGCUUGGCCUUCACUCAUAAUGGGACACAAUAAGCUAAGGCAGAUAGUGAGAUACCUUCUAUAAAGGAAGCUCCUCUCUGGGUGGGUAGAGGGCAUUGAGGAGGAAGCGAGGAAAUCCAAAGGAUUAUUGAUUUAUCAAAUAGACAUUUUAGUGAUACCUUCUGGAUUCCUUUCGUCUCUUGCAUGAUGCCCUUAACUGGUAAAGCCCUCCUACAGCCUUGCAACGCCAGUAAUAAAACCAGAGUGCCACUGGUAUCACUUAACCCUCUAGCAUUUAGGGUUUCAAUACAAGUCCAUAGAAUUCGAUGUUAAAGUAAAAUCCUGGCCAUUGGCCUUUGAGGACCUCUUUCAAAGUACAGUCCCAAUGCUGCUAUUUUACCCCUACACUAGAUGUCCAAACAGCUUUUGUUGCUUGCAUUUAACAAAGCACUUUAGUCCGCUACAUCAAAUAAUAUUGUACCAUACGUGUCUACCCUAUUUGCAAUCUUUUUUUAAAGUCUCAAAUCCAAACAGGAUGAAACUGUUCCGGUGCCUAAAGAUCAAUGUAUGAUCCUUCCGCUUGACCGUAUUUGCAUUGCUUGUUUUUGUUUCAGUGACUGUCUACAACACAAUUCUUAAGUAAGAUGUAGAUGGCUUAUAUGCAGCAUUGAUUUUCAGCCUUGUGCUGUAACUUUCAUUGUUCUUGAGAAGAAUGUAGAAUGGGGGGGGGGAGUGGAGGUAUGGCUUUACAGGUAAUGGAAUGUAAUAGGACUCUUUACCUGUAAUGGUGAGAUGCGCUCCAAUUUUCUUUUAAAAGUAAAGUUGGUUUCCAUGUGAAGAUACGGAAUGUUUAUGUUGUGCCUGGCCAAUAUUUUCGAUUUCCAAAUAAAGAUUUGGUUUAAUGACAGACCCUGCAAAGAAUGGAGAUUGUAUUGCUCAAAAUGAUACCAGUUUGUCCUACUUCCAGAAGAUUUUGAAUGAGUUUUUAAAACCUCACCUGUUUAUAGCUCUUUCCAUCAUGCUGAACAGGCAUUUCACUGAUAAAUCAGGCUCUUAGAAUAUUGAUUAUUUGGUGCACACAAAGGCUAGUAGACAGUGGUUAUUACAGGAAAUGUUUUCUGCACCUUCCAGUAAUUCCUGUGGUCUUGAUGCCUUCAUACUUGCAAACUAUGCAAAUAUAUAAAUAGGUGGGUAGGUUUUAAAAUAACAAUUUGGGAAUUUAAUUUCAUAUAUAAAUGUAAUAAAUAAAGUGGUACAUACCUGAACCCUUCUAAAUGCUUGAACUCUCUCUCUUUCUCUCUCUCUCUGAAUUUGUCCCCAAAAUUGCUCUUUUGAGAGCAGGGCCAGCCCUACCAUUAGGCAGGGUAAGGCAGCCGCCUCAGGUGGCAGAGGCUGGAAAGCAGCAGCAAGGUGUUAAAGAAGAGAGCUGGGUGCCCUAUAGCCUGCUCUCCGCCCCCUAAGUUAGCCUGCUGCCUUCAGGCUCAGCAGAGAACGUUAUCACAUUAUCAGUGUUGAAGUCAGCUUAAUCUGCCAGGAGUGUCAAAUCCAAGGAGAUUUUGGGGGAAGGGGGCAUCUGUGAACACAGUUCAAAAAAAGAACUCUUCCCCCCCCCCCUCCAUGGGGCACGCAACCCUUUAAUGGAUUACAGCCUUAAUUAGCUACAAAUCAUGUGUGUUUUUCUUUCUUUCUUUCAUGGAAUGGAAAAGAAACUUUAAAAACAACCCCGAGUCACGAAAUUAGUCCUUGUCUUGGAAGUACAGUUGCCUCCUUCUCUCUCCUCACCUCCACUCCUUUGCUAUAAAGGUGAGGAGCUUCUGGAUGUUAGCAAGCUAUCUUGAUUGUUUGGGCAUGGAAGAGUCAGAACAUGUAAAUUCAGCCUUGCCUAGUGUGAAGUAGGGGUUUGGUGCUUCUUUGAAACACCCAUAUGUGAAAACCCAUCGUUUGCCAUAGGGUUCAUGUGUCCUUCAGCAUGAAAGUGAGAGUAGUAAUGGGCAGAUCAGAAUAGACAAUAAAUAAAUUGACAGCAUAUAAAUGUCUACCAGCUUUCACAAUUAACUGUGUUUAAUACUUUUUCACUGUUAUCAAUCCAAAAAUAGUUAUUAAAGCCAAUAAAUCUGGGAUUUCAGUUUAUUUAAAAUAAUAACUUGGUGCUUGGUGCAUCUUUCGUCUGUGCACCGCUUUACAAAUAUCAGUCAAGCCUCAAAAUAAGGAUUGCUUUAUUUAUGUAGAAACUGAAAUUGAAUGUUACACGGAGGAAAAGUCAGUGUUGGUGCUAUAUAGGAUACACGGGCUCUUACCUCCUUGUGCUAUUUUCAGGCCACAGAAGCAUACUUUUUGAUCUCUAUCCCAUAAAGAAGGGGACAAGGAACCCACUUUACAGAUUGUAAAGUCUAUAACUGACAUAUCAGCCGUCAUGCUUUGGGAACAUAUUUGUAAUGUGAUAACUCAAAUGUCCAUGUAAUAAUGUCCCUUAACUCUUUGGAACUGAUUAGAUUAAUGGAAAAUUUAAAGUGCAUAUUCUCAUGUGUGCCCAGUAAUACAGAUAACCUGUGUCUUGGUUUUAUAAAAUCUUCUGAUACAGCAAUUUCUGUUUCUUGUUUUAGAGGAUUAAGUUUUUAAGGGCUUUAUUGGAUAAGGCAAAGUUUAAAAAUAUUUUUAAGUGCAUGACUUAAUUCUGGCUCUGUCAACUUUUGCACUGUGAAUAUUUUAAUUAACGUAUUUUAAACACAAAAUGUUGAGGGCUUAAUACUUCCUGCCUUUUAACCCAAGGGUCACUUCUACCAUUACGUUCUUGCUUCCAUGGCAUAGCUCUUGAAAUGUAUUCUUGAGGGAUGUGUAUAUGGAAUCCAUAUAGUCAUUUUGUGAGACUCGGUCACCUGCUGAACUUGAUCAUAAAUUAUUUGUGUGAACUGCUGAGUUUGAGGUUGCAGUCUCCACUGAUAAAGGAAAAAAGCUGACCCUUUCUGAUAAAAUGUUUUUCAUGUAUGCAUCCCUGAGAAUCACUUCUUUUAAGCAGCCAUCCUUUGGAUGUAAAAUAUUAUGCUGGAACUGAUCCCUAGUCUUUGUUGAGACCAGUGCUAGGUGGAAGAAAGUGUGUGUAUGGAUGCAGUUCAGGGCAUCCUUUAUUGUUUUGAAGCGGUGAUACAUCACAAAUGGGAUCUGGUUAAUCCUAAAUUAUCCUGUAGCGUAUUGGCAAGACUAUGUAGCUUUUUGUCUUCCACCAUGAUAGUUGCCCUGAUCCUAAAUAUUUGGUUGCAGUUCUGACACAAUGUUGAGUUUAAAUUGCUGCAACAGCUAUUGGUACACCCUAUUCCAAGCACUGAUUUGUGAGGUGUAUCAAAGCUUAGGAUCAGGCAGUAAGUGUCUGUAUUAAUUCCUUAGGGUUUACAUGAAUACUUCACAUUUUGUAGACAUGCAGCUUGAACAAGAAUCCCAGGUCUACAGUCCCAUAAUGCGUUUGAACCUAAGAUCUGGAUUCCACCCCCACUUGCCCUCCACAAUGCUGAUUAGAUUCAUCCACCCAUUAAGGAACUUGAAUGGUCGUUUUUGUCCUUGAGAACAAAACAGUUGCCACUUCUGGCUGUGAGCUGCUCAGUAAACUGGGUUUUUGAGAUAAGCCGCCAUCAUCCUGUAGGAGCUCAUUGGCUGAAGAAUGUAUUCUGAGCUUUAAAUGGAGCUGUUGCUUAUGAGCAAAACAUUUUCCAUUUAUGACCCCUUUCAAUGGCAGAGAGUUACAUUUUGGGUACUUACAGAAUGUGUGUGUGGGGGGGGAAUCAUGCUUCAGUUGAGGCACUGAAUCAUCCAUAUAGUAUUAUUUUCCAGGUAGCUCUCUAAGAAUGUAAAUCUUCUGCAUUUUGUAUGAGUAUAAGAAAAGGUGUUUUUUUCCCCCCACUGUGAUCCAAAAGCUCCAAUGGUUUAGGGAUAAAUAAGGGAUGUUUGAGGCAUCCCAUGUUGAAUUAUGGACUAUUAAUCCAUUAUUCUUUAGGACAAGUAGGAUAACCUUUUAACAUCCAUAAAAUGCCAUUAAUUGAAUGAGCUGGGGAAAAUGGGCAUCCUUUUCCAAGAAGAAAUAUCUGUUAAAUACAUCAGUAAUCAUGAACUGUGUACAAAUCAGUCUGUAUAAAACUUGUGAUUUCUUUUUAUUUCAUAUUCUUUGGUAAAAGGUACAUUGGUUGUGUUCAGUUUUCUGAUCCAGAAACAAAGACCAAAGAAGGCCAACCUCAUUUGAUUGUGUAUAUUCUGCCUGUCUUAAUUAUUGAUAGCUAUAAAGGAUACAGUGCAAGUAAGUGAAUUGGUAAUCAAUGGUUUUUGUAUGUUUUUUUUAAGGAAAGGAAACUUUAAAGUGUAUAAUUUAUUUCUCAGCAAUACCAUGUUGUUAAUAACGAUUAGCAACGUGUCCUAAUUUCCCAAUAGCAUUAUUAUAUGUUGUCCUUCAGUUCGUUGUAUUGUUAUUUGGUAUUUAUUUGUGUUUGAAGGUCUUGCUAUGUCUUGUGUUUUGAUGCUAAUAAAUGAGAACAGUGUGUAGAAUGCAAAACUUUGAAAUGCUGAACUGUAUUAAAGGAAAAAAAAUAAACCUAAGUAGGAAGUCAUAUUUUUUAAUAAA